GGUGUUUUUAAUUCUGGCCUUGAUGGCAGUAUUUGCCCAACAGCCUCUUAGUAAGAUUAGACCUUGGUGUUGCGCUUACAAUUGCGGACAUAAUGAUUGCAGACGCUAAAUAGAGCGUUUCCUAGACAUUACAACUGAGCUCUUGCAAAUGAUUUAAUUUGUAAUUAAUUAAUUAAGUCAAAUUCCGCUUAAAUUCGUUUCAAAUAGAGCUAAAUUGUGCUUGAGAAAAACAUCAAUUGAGCCCAGCAUUGACUGAAGCAUUA
Long non-coding RNA from Scaptodrosophila lebanonensis, 263 nucleotides. RefSeq lists it as uncharacterized. NCBI's taxonomy places the organism in Eukaryota, Metazoa, Arthropoda, Insecta, Diptera, Drosophilidae. The transcript is spliced from 2 exons. The record is from RefSeq and is a predicted model, not a curated record.